UUUCGCCAAAAGUUUCAUUUUUCGAUUAAAAGUUGUUGCACUGGCAAGAGUUGGUUUUUGGGGCGUAGCGCAACUGCUAUAUCACGCAAAACUGCAAUGGAAAGACCUUUGUCUGCAACUAUAGUCAUGUGAAUU
Molecule: long non-coding RNA, 135 nt
Organism: Sphaeramia orbicularis (orbiculate cardinalfish)
Lineage: Eukaryota; Metazoa; Chordata; Actinopteri; Kurtiformes; Apogonidae
Exons: 2
Source: RefSeq, a predicted model, not a curated record